RNAcentral lists this ribosomal RNA (521 nucleotides) under Staphylococcus saprophyticus. RNAcentral's name for it is "bacterial SSU rRNA". It matches the Rfam family "Bacterial small subunit ribosomal RNA", at positions 75 to 580 of the family's 1533-position model. Lineage: Bacteria; Bacillati; Bacillota; Bacilli; Caryophanales; Staphylococcaceae. The record is from RNAcentral.
GGAGCUUGCUCACUUUGACGUUAGCGGCGGACGGGUGAGUAACACGUGGGUAACCUACCUAUAAGACUGGGAUAACUUCGGGAAACCGGAGCUAAUACCGGAUAACAUUUGGAACCGCAUGGUUCUAAAGUGAAAGAUGGUUUUGCUAUCACUUAUAGAUGGACCCGCGCCGUAUUAGCUAGUUGGUAAGGUAACGGCUUACCAAGGCGACGAUACGUAGCCGACCUGAGAGGGUGAUCGGCCACACUGGAACUGAGACACGGUCCAGACUCCUACGGGAGGCAGCAGUAGGGAAUCUUCCGCAAUGGGCGAAAGCCUGACGGAGCAACGCCGCGUGAGUGAUGAAGGGUUUCGGCUCGUAAAACUCUGUUAUUAGGGAAGAACAAAUGUGUAAGUAACUGUGCACGUCUUGACGGUACCUAAUCAGAAAGCCACGGCUAACUACGUGCCAGCAGCCGCGGUAAUACGUAGGUGGCAAGCGUUAUCCGGAAUUAUUGGGCGUAAAGCGCGCGUAGGCGGUU